GUCUUAUUGAAUAAAAUUCUAAGUCAAAUCUGCUCAAUGAAAAUUUUAAAUAGCUGCAGUAUCUAUAACUGUACAAAGGUAGCAUAAUAAUUAGGUUUUUAAUUGAAAUCUAGAAUGAAAGAUUUAAUGAAAUAUAAACUUUAUUUUCAAAAUUAUAUAAACUUAUUUUUUAAUUUAAAAAAAUUAAAUUUAAUUAAAAGACGAAAAGACCCUAUAAAAUUUUAUAAUUAAUUAUUUAAUAUAUAAAAUUAAAUAUAAUAUUAAUAUUUAAUUAUUUAAUUGGGGUGAUUUAAAAAUUUAAAUAACUUUUUAAACUUCAAACAUUAAUAUAUGAUUUACAUUAUAAUUAUUUUAAAAAAUUAAAAUAAAUUACUUUAGGGAUNACAGCAUAAUUUUUUUUUAAAGCUCACAUUUGUAAAAAAUUUUAU
RNAcentral lists this ribosomal RNA (428 nucleotides) under Epsilogaster sp. JCB-2006. RNAcentral describes it as "partial 16S ribosomal RNA". The record is from RNAcentral. Lineage: Eukaryota; Metazoa; Arthropoda; Insecta; Hymenoptera; Braconidae.